GUGUUGUUGCCCUAGUGGUAAUAACCAAGUCUGUCAGUCAGUCAGUCAGUCAGUCAGGCUGACAUAAGCCUGUUCUAACCCUGUUUGUUUUUCCCUGCUUCCUGUUAGAAACCUGUGAGGUGUGGGCUAUUACCUUUGCAACUGGACUUGGACACCCUGCUCCCUCUACUGUUGUUUGUGAAUUCGGAUUAUUCAUCUCGAGACUGUGGCUCGAUUCCUAACCUUCCUAACUCCUACCUCUGUGAGUACUCUGGCCAUCUCAGGACUGAAUAUUGGACAAGCUUUCUGGAUAGCCUGACUCCCAAACCUAGUGGUAUGAUUCCCCAGAAUUACUCUGCUCAGUGAUCUAAUGGACCCGAAGAACCUACCAACCAUUGUUCCAGUGGAACUUCCCUUGUGUUUAUAAAUAAACCUUUGAAACUUG
Molecule: long non-coding RNA, 424 nt
Organism: Girardinichthys multiradiatus
Lineage: Eukaryota; Metazoa; Chordata; Actinopteri; Cyprinodontiformes; Goodeidae
Exons: 2
Source: RefSeq, a predicted model, not a curated record